GGUUAAGCGACUAAGCGUACACGGUGGAUGCCCUGGCAGUCAGAGGCGAUGAAGGACGUGCUAAUCUGCGAUAAGCGUCGGUAAGGUGAUAUGAACCGUUAUAACCGGCGAUUUCCGAAUGGGGAAACCCAGUGUGUUUCGACACACUAUCAUUAACUGAAUCCAUAGGUUAAUGAGGCGAACCGGGGGAACUGAAACAUCUAAGUACCCCGAGGAAAAGAAAUCAACCGAGAUUCCCCCAGUAGCGGCGAGCGAACGGGGAGCAGCCCAGAGCCUGAAUCAGUGUGUGUGUUAGUGGAAGCGUCUGGAAAGGCGCGCGAUACAGGGUGACAGCCCCGUACACAAAAAUGCACAUGCUGUGAGCUCGAUGAGUAGGGCGGGACACGUGGUAUCCUGUCUGAAUAUGGGGGGACCAUCCUCCAAGGCUAAAUACUCCUGACUGACCGAUAGUGAACCAGUACCGUGAGGGAAAGGCGAAAAGAACCCCGGCGAGGGGAGUGAAAAAGAACCUGAAACCGUGUACGUACAAGCAGUGGGAGCACGCUUAGGCGUGUGACUGCGUACCUUUUGUAUAAUGGGUCAGCGACUUAUAUUCUGUAGCAAGGUUAACCGAAUAGGGGAGCCGAAGGGAAACCGAGUCUUAACUGGGCGUUAAGUUGCAGGGUAUAGACCCGAAACCCGGUGAUCUAGCCAUGGGCAGGUUGAAGGUUGGGUAACACUAACUGGAGGACCGAACCGACUAAUGUUGAAAAAUUAGCGGAUGACUUGUGGCUGGGGGUGAAAGGCCAAUCAAACCGGGAGAUAGCUGGUUCUCCCCGAAAGCUAUUUAGGUAGCGCCUCGUGAAUUCAUCUCCGGGGGUAGAGCACUGUUUCGGCAAGGGGGUCAUCCCGACUUACCAACCCGAUGCAAACUGCGAAUACCGGAGAAUGUUAUCACGGGAGACACACGGCGGGUGCUAACGUCCGUCGUGAAGAGGGAAACAACCCAGACCGCCAGCUAAGGUCCCAAAGUCAUGGUUAAGUGGGAAACGAUGUGGGAAGGCCCAGACAGCCAGGAUGUUGGCUUAGAAGCAGCCAUCAUUUAAAGAAAGCGUAAUAGCUCACUGGUCGAGUCGGCCUGCGCGGAAGAUGUAACGGGGCUAAACCAUGCACCGAAGCUGCGGCAGCGACGCUUAUGCGUUGUUGGGUAGGGGAGCGUUCUGUAAGCCUGCGAAGGUGUGCUGUGAGGCAUGCUGGAGGUAUCAGAAGUGCGAAUGCUGACAUAAGUAACGAUAAAGCGGGUGAAAAGCCCGCUCGCCGGAAGACCAAGGGUUCCUGUCCAACGUUAAUCGGGGCAGGGUGAGUCGACCCCUAAGGCGAGGCCGAAAGGCGUAGUCGAUGGGAAACAGGUUAAUAUUCCUGUACUUGGUGUUACUGCGAAGGGGGGACGGAGAAGGCUAUGUUGGCCGGGCGACGGUUGUCCCGGUUUAAGCGUGUAGGCUGGUUUUCCAGGCAAAUCCGGAAAAUCAAGGCUGAGGCGUGAUGACGAGGCACUACGGUGCUGAAGCAACAAAUGCCCUGCUUCCAGGAAAAGCCUCUAAGCAUCAGGUAACAUCAAAUCGUACCCCAAACCGACACAGGUGGUCAGGUAGAGAAUACCAAGGCGCUUGAGAGAACUCGGGUGAAGGAACUAGGCAAAAUGGUGCCGUAACUUCGGGAGAAGGCACGCUGAUAUGUAGGUGAGGUCCCUUGCGGAUGGAGCUGAAAUCAGUCGAAGAUACCAGCUGGCUGCAACUGUUUAUUAAAAACACAGCACUGUGCAAACACGAAAGUGGACGUAUACGGUGUGACGCCUGCCCGGUGCCGGAAGGUUAAUUGAUGGGGUUAGCGCAAGCGAAGCUCUUGAUCGAAGCCCCGGUAAACGGCGGCCGUAACUAUAACGGUCCUAAGGUAGCGAAAUUCCUUGUCGGGUAAGUUCCGACCUGCACGAAUGGCGUAAUGAUGGCCAGGCUGUCUCCACCCGAGACUCAGUGAAAUUGAACUCGCUGUGAAGAUGCAGUGUACCCGCGGCAAGACGGAAAGACCCCGUGAACCUUUACUAUAGCUUGACACUGAACAUUGAGCCUUGAUGUGUAGGAUAGGUGGGAGGCUUUGAAGUGUGGACGCCAGUCUGCAUGGAGCCGACCUUGAAAUACCACCCUUUAAUGUUUGAUGUUCUAACGUUGACCCGUAAUCCGGGUUGCGGACAGUGUCUGGUGGGUAGUUUGACUGGGGCGGUCUCCUCCUAAAGAGUAACGGAGGAGCACGAAGGUUGGCUAAUCCUGGUCGGACAUCAGGAGGUUAGUGCAAUGGCAUAAGCCAGCUUGACUGCGAGCGUGACGGCGCGAGCAGGUGCGAAAGCAGGUCAUAGUGAUCCGGUGGUUCUGAAUGGAAGGGCCAUCGCUCAACGGAUAAAAGGUACUCCGGGGAUAACAGGCUGAUACCGCCCAAGAGUUCAUAUCGACGGCGGUGUUUGGCACCUCGAUGUCGGCUCAUCACAUCCUGGGGCUGAAGUAGGUCCCAAGGGUAUGGCUGUUCGCCAUUUAAAGUGGUACGCGAGCUGGGUUUAGAACGUCGUGAGACAGUUCGGUCCCUAUCUGCCGUGGGCGCUGGAGAACUGAGGGGGGCUGCUCCUAGUACGAGAGGACCGGAGUGGACGCAUCACUGGUGUUCGGGUUGUCAUGCCAAUGGCACUGCCCGGUAGCUAAAUGCGGAAGAGAUAAGUGCUGAAAGCAUCUAAGCACGAAACUUGCCCCGAGAUGAGUUCUCCCUGACCCUUUAAGGGUCCUGAAGGAACGUUGAAGACGACGACGUUGAUAGGCCGGGUGUGUAAGCGCAGCGAUGCGUUGAGCUAACCGGUACUAAUGAACCGUGAGGCUUAACCUU
RNAcentral lists this ribosomal RNA (2904 nucleotides) under Escherichia coli. Its description in RNAcentral is "23S ribosomal RNA". It matches the Rfam family "Bacterial large subunit ribosomal RNA". Lineage: Bacteria; Pseudomonadati; Pseudomonadota; Gammaproteobacteria; Enterobacterales; Enterobacteriaceae. The record is from RNAcentral. RNAcentral also lists the same sequence under 2 other names.